GAAAGUCUCCCCCAUGAACCAAAGGUCAGGGGUUCGAACUUGUGGACUGCACCAUGACCAUUUUUUUAUUUCCAUGUUAUUUUACUUAUUUUAUUUUUUAUUAUUUUUAUUUUCUCUUUUGAUUUAUUUUUUUAACCCCUUAAUUUUUAUUAUUUUGGAAAAAUGUUGAACAUCAACCCCCCUUAUUUUUGCCUCUAGAAUUUAAUGGUGACAUUAUUUAUUUC
RNAcentral lists this long non-coding RNA (224 nucleotides) under Lathyrus oleraceus (garden pea). RNAcentral describes it as "Pisum sativum (pea) long non-coding RNA (PSAT_LNC006775)". The record is from RNAcentral. Lineage: Eukaryota; Viridiplantae; Streptophyta; Magnoliopsida; Fabales; Fabaceae.